RNAcentral lists this ribosomal RNA (551 nucleotides) under uncultured bacterium. Its description in RNAcentral is "bacterial SSU rRNA". It matches the Rfam family "Bacterial small subunit ribosomal RNA", at positions 355 to 896 of the family's 1533-position model. The record is from RNAcentral.
UAGGGAAUCUUCGGCAAUGGGGGGAACCCUGACCGAGCAACGCCGCGUGAGUGAAGAAGGUUUUCGGAUCGUAAAGCUCUGUUUGUUAAGGAAGAACGAGUGUGAGAAUGGAAAGUUCAUACUGUGACGGUACUUAACCAGAAAGGGACGGCUAACUACGUGCCAGCAGCCGCGGUAAUACGUAGGUCCCGAGCGUUGUCCGGAUUUAUUGGGCGUAAAGCGAGCGCAGGCGGUUAGAUAAGUCUGAAGUUAAAGGCAGUGGCUCAACCAUUGUAGGCUUUGGAAACUGUUUAACUUGAGUGCAGAAGGGGAGAGUGGAAUUCCAUGUGUAGCGGUGAAAUGCGUAGAUAUAUGGAGGAACACCGGUGGCGAAAGCGGCUCUCUGGUCUGUAACUGACGCUGAGGCUCGAAAGCGUGGGGAGCGAACAGGAUUAGAUACCCUGGUAGUCCACGCCGUAAACGAUGAGUGCUAGGUGUUAGGUCCUUUCCGGGACUUAGUGCCGCAGCUAACGCAUUAAGCACUCCGCCUGGGGAGUACGACCGCAAGGUUG